GGAAUGAUGGCGCAGCGGUAGCGCGUGGGAUUGCAAAUCCCGAGGUCGAGAGUUCGAUCCUCUCUCAUUCCU
Molecule: non-coding RNA, 72 nt
Organism: Gnomoniopsis smithogilvyi
Lineage: Eukaryota; Fungi; Ascomycota; Sordariomycetes; Diaporthales; Gnomoniaceae
Source: the annotation of a GenBank genome assembly